Molecule: long non-coding RNA, 263 nt
Filed under: Elaeis guineensis (African oil palm)
Lineage: Eukaryota; Viridiplantae; Streptophyta; Magnoliopsida; Arecales; Arecaceae
Description: long non-coding RNA (EGUI_LNC021026)
Source: RNAcentral
UCACCGUGCCGCUGUCGCCGCACCAUCGUCAUCAUCGUCCCUCUUUGAAGUCCAUCGGGCUCUCUCUCUCACAAUCCACCUAGUAUAUACGGCUCUCUGGUUCUCUCUAGCUAUGUCUCUCUCUCUCUCACAGUCCACCUGUAGGUCGCUAUCGUCGCCACGCUGCCAUCACCGUCGUAGGGCCACCAUCGUCAUCGCUGCACAAUCGCCGACGUCUGCUUAUCUCGGUACCCAUCUCUCUCUCUCUUUGUGGGAUUCACGGA